This 58-nucleotide transfer RNA is filed under the name Ictidomys tridecemlineatus (thirteen-lined ground squirrel). Its description in RNAcentral is "Spermophilus tridecemlineatus (thirteen-lined ground squirrel) tRNA". It matches the Rfam family "tRNA", at positions 7 to 64 of the family's 71-position model. From Rfam's summary of the family: Transfer RNA (tRNA) molecules are approximately 80 nucleotides in length. Their secondary structure includes four short double-helical elements and three loops (D, anti-codon, and T loops). The record is from Rfam by way of RNAcentral. Lineage: Eukaryota; Metazoa; Chordata; Mammalia; Rodentia; Sciuridae.
GUAGCUCAGUGAUAGAGCACUUGCCUACCAUGUGUAAGGCCUGGGUUCAAUUCCCAGC